Molecule: long non-coding RNA, 574 nt
Organism: Bombus pascuorum
Lineage: Eukaryota; Metazoa; Arthropoda; Insecta; Hymenoptera; Apidae
Exons: 2
Source: RefSeq, a predicted model, not a curated record
AUUCAGAAACCAAUCAUUGAAAUGGCGAACCGUCGUGGAUACCGUUGUUAAAUAUUCGAAUUACGUGCAUUUCGACUAUAAAUUAUAAUUAAUUCCGUAUUAACACUUGCGUUAAUGCAUUCUAAUGCCUUUCACUCGUUUAUCAUUCUCAAAUAUUUGCAAUUAUUAUGAACACUUAUGAGGAGGAAGAUAUCGUCAUAGUUGCACGUUGUACAUAGGUCUUGAAUACUCGAUCACAUGAAUUAUAAUCUGUAGAGGUGAUUAUAACAGGAUAUUAAUUCCAAUGUAUAUUUCAACAUGUGAAUAUUAUUUUCUUUUAUCGUUGAUCAUUAUCCCAGUGUAUUUGUUUUUCAAAUUAUGGUCAUGGCUAGGUUGGCAAUUAUUUAUAAAUAAUUAAUAUUAUGUGCAUUGUGUCUUUGGUUGAUUUUGCCUCUUUACUUUCUUUUUAUAAUACCUAGAUUUUCUUUACUGAAAAGUUAAAUAUAAAAAUUCUUCUAUGUUUAUAUAAAAACAUAAUGUUUGUACAUAAUAUCAUUAUAAACUGUUUUCCAUAAAUUAAAUAUUAAAUUUUAUU